This 448-nucleotide ribosomal RNA is filed under the name uncultured bacterium. Its description in RNAcentral is "bacterial SSU rRNA". It matches the Rfam family "Bacterial small subunit ribosomal RNA", at positions 330 to 793 of the family's 1533-position model. The record is from RNAcentral.
UCCAGACUCCUACGGGAGGCAGCAGUGGGGGAUAUUGCACAAUGGGGGAAACCCUGAUGCAGCGACGCCGCGUGAGGGAAGACGGUCUUCGGAUUGUGAACCUCUUUCAGCAGGGAAGACAAAAGGACGGUACCUGCAGAAGAAGCCACGGCUAACUACGUGCCAGCAGCCGCGGUAAUACGUAGGUGGCAAGCGUUAUCCGGAAUUACUGGGUGUAAAGGGUGUGUAGGCGGGGCUGCAAGUCAGAUGUGAAAAUUAUGGGCUCAACCCAUAACCUGCGUCUGAAACUGUAGCUCUUGAGAGUGGGAGAGGUAAACGGAAUUCCCGGUGUAGCGGUGAAAUGCGUAGAUAUACGGAGGAACACCAGUGGCGAAGGCGGAUUGCUGGACAGUAACUGACGCUGAGGCGCGAAAGCGUGGGGAGCAAACAGGAUUAGAUACCCUAGUAG